This 714-nucleotide long non-coding RNA is filed under the name Gossypium barbadense (sea-island cotton). RNAcentral describes it as "long non-coding RNA (GBAR_LNC020552)". Lineage: Eukaryota; Viridiplantae; Streptophyta; Magnoliopsida; Malvales; Malvaceae. The record is from RNAcentral.
UUCAAACUUCAACAGGUUUCCUUUUCUUUCAGUAUCUAGCAAUAUUUUCGUUUCUCUUCUUGCUGUAAUUCUAUAAAUAUGGUUUGGUAAAGUUUCACUUUUGUAUGUAAUGUUAGCAAAAUAAAAAAUACAAAUUUAAAAACUAAAAAAAAAUAAAAUUAAAAACUAAAAAAAAAUAAAAGGUCAGUAUGGCUUUUAUUAUUUAAUUUAGGUAAAUUACACCAACAGUCACGCAACGUUGGGGUAGCUGACAAGACAGUCACUUAGGUUUCAUUUUAGUCACUCAACUUUCGAAAAGUUACAAAACAGUCAUUUUUGCUGUUUUCCGUCACAGACGUCACGACAAAGUGACAUGGCGGAUGACAGCGUCCUUGGUGUCAAAAAACUCUCCAGCUGGCCGGUUACUCUCAAUUUAACAGCCCUACCAGCACCAUUUUAGGGUUAGAGAAAAAGAAGAAGAAGAAAAAGAAGGAGAGGAGGAAAAAUGGAGAUGCCUAAAGUGAUUCCGGUGUGCUAUUGUGGAAACUCAGCCAAAUUAAACACGUCAUGGUCUAAUGACAACCCAGGUAGGAGGUUUUUUGGGUGUAAGAAAUUUGGCAGUGGGUUUUGAAAACCAUGUCGAUUUUUCACCUGGUUUGAUCCACCAUUGACGCCCCGUUCACGAAUUAUGUUGUUGGGUCUUCUGAAAAAAGUGAGGACAUUGGAAAAUGCAAG